Molecule: unclassified non-coding RNA, 200 nt
Filed under: Trichoderma sp.
Lineage: Eukaryota; Fungi; Ascomycota; Sordariomycetes; Hypocreales; Hypocreaceae
Description: partial internal transcribed spacer 2
Source: RNAcentral
UUAAGUUCAGCGGGUAGUCCUACCUGAUCCGAGGUCAACGUUACGGUGCUUGGGUUGUUUUACGGCUGUGGGCGCGCUGCGCUCCCGGUGCGAGUGUUCGUGCUACUGCGCAGGGGAGGCUGCGGCGUGUCCGCCACUGGAUUUCGGGGGCGGCCGGUGAGGGCCGGUCCCCAACGCCGACCCCCCGGAGGGGCUCGAGG